UUCUUUUAUUUCCAAAACACAUUUCCAAAAGAUAUUUAGUAAGACGUUUUUACUUGGUAUAUUAAAAUGUGGGAAGGUCAAAAGAUUUUUACAAAGAAUAAUAACGAAUCUGAGUCACAAUCCUGCAGAGAAUUGACAAAAUGUUUUGAAAGAAGUAUCCCGUUAAUUGAAUUGGCCAACCGUUGAAAUUAUUUCAUUUAAGAAUGAAAGAUGUUGACGUCGAUCCAGAAAUGUAUCAUUAUGCACUGGAUUAUUACUAUACUAAGGAAAUGAACGCAACAAAGGAAUAUUCCAUUGUGUAAUAGAUUGGACUGGCUUUCAAUUGGUUAUUACUAGACCCUCAACGAGAAUGUUGCCACGAUAAGAUCAUGCUUCAACAUAGUUCCAUCCUCCAUGAUUACUGGAUUUUUAUUGGAUAAGAACGAAUGUUAUUUGUAUAAAAAUAGGAAAGAAAAACAUCUUAGAAUUCAAGAAUAUCAUUCGAUAAUAUGUAUUCGUCAGUUAGUCGAUGGUUUCUCAUCCGAAAGAUUCAUUAUGCACGUAAAGAUUGAGAAAAACAAGGGAACUAUUCAAGAGAUCAUCUGAAGGGAUAUCGAAGAAUAUAGCUGCAGUAAAUAUGUAUAGAUGAAAGAGAGUAAAUUUAUCUAUCGAAUCUGCUAGUCUAAUAACAAUCGUAGAGGAGGAGAAAAGCAGUUUAUUACAAAUAAUACUUAAGAAGAAUUGACAGUGAAAAUUUUGUGGAAACCAAUGGUAAGAAAGCUCAUGUUGGUUCAUUGUCAUGGAGUUUUGUUUCAUCAAUCAUGCGGAACAUAUUUUCUGCUAAUUGAAUAAGGAAAUUGGUUUGUUUCAUGGUGGUAGAACGAUCGUUGAUGAAAGAAGAAUAAGAUGCGGACCACGUUUUUGUAUUAAUCUUGCUAUAGCAAUCUAUCUUCAUACGUACGUUUAUCUAUUCGACCAUAAAUCUUAAACGGCAAAAGGGGCCGGGAGGCAUAUCAUUUGAAACGCCUUUUUAUUCUUUUUACAACGGUAUCAUUUUUUCCAUUUUAAAUCCAUAGUUAUCGAAAAACCGUUUAAGAUUUAUGGUCGAAUUUAGCGAUAGACGCUUUGGUAAGUAAAUGUAUCGUUGAAUAGUAUAAAUAUGAGGAUGCCUGAAAAACAAAAUAAUCAUCUUAGGGAUCCGUCAAUUAAAGUUUUUGUACUUCCAGUUUCCAAGCUUUUUAUGAAAAAGAACAAAAAAUCCAGAUGCUAAAGCAUCAUCGAAGAUUCUAGAGAGUGAUAUUUAUAAUAACGAUAGUAAGAAGCGUAAACCAAAGCAGUGGCUUAUUUGAGAUUUUUAUUUGGCGAUAAUUUGAACGGUUGGAACGAAUAAGUGAUUAAAUUUAUUCCAAUACUGAUUUCAGAUUUUUCAUUAACUAAAUACUUAUUAUAUUAUGAACAAAAGCUCGAUCACUGAAUCUAAUGUUUAUAGCAUUAAAUGGCGAGACAAUUUUCAUUAGCGAACUGGAUAUUUUUUUUUCGAAGGAUAUGCCGAUUGUUUAUUUCGACAAAAUUUACGUGUAGUCGAGUUAAAAGAAGAAAACGGAUAGAUGAUUACCGGAUUGUAUUCUCGAAUGUCUGAAGGAGGAAUGAAUUAAAGAGUCAGCUGAAUCAAUUAUUUAACAUGUAUGAUUCGUCCAGUCAUUAGAAACAAAAUAAGAACUAGUUUUAUUAAUUACGUUUGAACCUUUUUAACAUUUAAUAAAAUAAAAGUUGUUAUCAACCAGAAAAUUAAAAUUGCAUUUUUUCAACAACUAUCGAUUUAAAAUGGAAAAAAUGAUACCGUUGUAAAAAGAAUAAAAAGGCGUUUCAAAUGAUAUGCCUCCCGGCCCCUUUUGCCGUUUAAGAUUUUUUAGUUGGUUGUCAUCUCAGGUAGUAAGCCUAAAGAAAAAUGCAUUUAUGAUAAGGACCUAUUCUCCUCGAAGACAAUGUUAACUAGAUAUGACGUUUUCUGAAAAAGUCAUUAAAUUUCAUAAUAAUCUUGAUGAAUACUCUUCAUUUGGAUAUAUAUGUAGGUUAAAUAUGGUGACUGAUAUCUUUCCAUUUUUAUCAUUUUGUUUUUCUUCUUAUCUUUGUGUGCUUAUAUAUGAACUUUUUCUGUUAUUAAAAGUAUUUGAUGUUAAUGAUUUGUAUCAACGUUAAUACAAUAUAUAAUAUAUAAAGCAUCGAUAGGAUUAUUAAAGUGAGAUAAAUUUUUCGUCCUGAAUGUUUACGAUUUCUAAUAAAAUUUUCUUCUGCGAUUUAGAGAAAAAGGGAAAGGACGUGUAAGUUAGCAAUAUUAUUAGAACAAUAAACAGAAAAAUAUUCAUUAUUGCAUAAUCCUGUUGAGUUACCAUGUGUAAUGCGUCGAAUCGAUAUAAAUAAUUGAUAUAAAAAAAAUAUUUCGACAUAAUUUGCUUCAAUUAUUGAUCAUUACAUAAAUACGUACGAUAAUAUGUAAUAAUCACAUAUACAUGUUACUCCUUCUUUCUCUUAUUUCAUCUCUCUCUCUCUGUCGCCUUCUUUCAGACCCAUCUCCUAUCAUUCACCAUUCUCUUUUUGCUUUGCCACCUUUUCUCGCUCGUCGCAUAAUUGAUUCCUUUUUCCGAUUGCUUUAUUCGAUAGCUUCUUUUAUUAUUCAGAAGGCAUUGUUGUAAAAUAUAACAUUGAUAAGUGGAAAAAUUUGAAUAAAGAAUUUAAAAAAUAAA
Long non-coding RNA from Vespa crabro (European hornet), 2723 nucleotides. RefSeq lists it as uncharacterized. NCBI's taxonomy places the organism in Eukaryota, Metazoa, Arthropoda, Insecta, Hymenoptera, Vespidae. The record is from RefSeq and is a predicted model, not a curated record. The transcript has 3 exons.